RNAcentral lists this ribosomal RNA (253 nucleotides) under uncultured bacterium. RNAcentral's name for it is "partial 16S ribosomal RNA". It matches the Rfam family "Bacterial small subunit ribosomal RNA", at positions 524 to 776 of the family's 1533-position model. The record is from RNAcentral.
UACGAGUGGUGCAAGCGUUAUUCGGAGUGAUUGGGCGUAAAGGGUGUGUAGGCGGUACGUUAAGUCAAUUGUUAAAUUCCUCGGCCUAACCGAGGGUCAGCGGUUGAAACUGGCGUGCUAGAGGAUGGAAGAGAGAAGUGGAAUUCUCGGAGUAGCGGUAAAAUGCGUAGAUCUCGAGAGGAACACCGAUGGCGAAGGCAGCUUCUUGGUCCAUUCCUGACGCUGAGGCACGAAAGCGUGGGGAGCAAACAGG